This 315-nucleotide ribosomal RNA is filed under the name uncultured Symbiodinium. Its description in RNAcentral is "partial Bacterial small subunit ribosomal RNA". It matches the Rfam family "Bacterial small subunit ribosomal RNA", at positions 31 to 348 of the family's 1533-position model. Lineage: Eukaryota; Dinophyceae; Suessiales; Symbiodiniaceae. The record is from RNAcentral.
GAACGCUGGCGGCAGGCCUAACACAUGCAAGUCGAACGGUAACAUAAAGAAGCUUGCUUCUUUGAUGACGAGUGGCGGACGGGUGAGUAAUGCUUGGGAACUUGCCUUUGCGAGGGGGAUAACAGUUGGAAACGACUGCUAAUACCGCAUAAUGUCUUCGGACCAAACGGGGCUUCGGCUCCGGCGCAAAGAGAGGCCCAAGUGAGAUUAGCUAGUUGGUAAGGUAAAGGCUUACCAAGGCGACGAUCUCUAGCUGUUCUGAGAGGAAGAUCAGCCACACUGGGACUGAGACACGGCCCAGACUCCUACGGGAGG